GAUUGACUUCCUGUUUCAGCAUGAGGUUGACUUCCUGCUUAAGAGUGGGAUUGACUUCCUGUUUCAGCAUGAGGUUGACUUCCUGCUUAAGAGUGGGAUUGACUUCCUGUUUCAGCAUGAGGUUGACUUCCUGCUUAAGAGUGGGAUUGACUUCCUGUUUCAGCAUGAGGUUGACUUCCUGCUUAAGAGUGGGAUUGACUUCCUGUUUCAGCAUGAGGUUGACUUCCUGCUUAAGAGUGGGAUUGACUUCCUGUUUCAGCAUGAGGUUGACUUCCUGCUUAAGAGUGGGAUUGACUUCCUGUUUCAGCAUGAGGUUGACUUCCUGCUUAAGAGUGGGAUUGACUUCCUGUUUCAGCAUGAGGUUGACUUCCUGCUUAAGAGUGGGAUUGACUUCCUGUUUCAGCAUGAGGUUGACUUCCUGUUUAAGAGUGAGAAUGACUUCCUGUUUCAGCAUGAGGUUGACUUCCUGCUUAAGAGUUAAAUUGACUUGUGUCUUAAAUUGUGAAUCCUUAUUUCCUCGCUCUUCCGUCGACAUGCCCGUGACUUGGAAACUGAGCAAAGUCCGCCAUCAUGAUCAAGUAUCAAUUCUCUGAAUGCACUGCAAGGACAGAGGACAGAAGAAGCUUCCUGAGGAUAGUUGCGUGAGAAAGCAAAGGUGCAUCAUUUGAUGAAACACCUGAUGCACGUAUAAAUUCUCUUGGGAUGAAGUAUUUUUACAUGGACAGUGUCAGUGCUAAAAGCAAAACAAUGUGUUCUCUGCAAGCGCUUUUCAUGUGGAGUUCAAAGAAGCUUUAAUCAUGUGAAUGCAGCUUCACAAUUGCUGUAGCAAAGUGGAUAUCCACGAUUAAUAUUGUGGAGCAUGAUUAUGUUUUUAGUUAAAUUCAAACUACAGGGACAAGAUAUUUCAAUUAAUAUUGUACUUUUGGAAUCUGUUGAAGUGACAGUGAAUGGCUGUUUGUUUAACUAAAGUGUUUUGAAGAUCUGACACUAGUUAACUUACUAACACACACACUUGAUCAGUGAGGUCAGUUGUGAGUUUUAUAACACCUUCAUGAUUACGCAAUCACAGGAAACACAAACACACAUAUUUGGCUGAGGAGUGACUCACAAUCAUAUAGGUAGAGCAAGUGAAUGAACGAUCAGAGAGAGAGAGACAGAUGUGUUGCAGGCGUGUUGUCAUGCUCUCUGUUUGUCUGCUGUAUAUUUGCUCUUCUCUUAUAUAAUGUCAGUUCUGCUCAGAGGAAGUGAAUCAUCUGCCUUGAUAUCUGAUCUUUACAAUGAUGUUACAUGUACAGUAAAAAGUUUUUGCAUUUAAAUGUAUGAGUCUUGAGAUGCUUUUUUUAAAAGUUGAACUUUUAACUUUAUUCACAUACUAUCUGCACUUUAGUGUGGCCCAAAUCAUAGUAUAUCGAAACUAGAAUGCCAGUGGUGCCCAGAUGGUAUACCUUUUCCUGGUGGAUUUUCCUAGUAUGCCUACUGUACAUCUUUUUGUUCUAAAAUUACCCACAAUCUACAGAAGAGGAGGAAUUUGUGAUUAUUCUUGGAAGGCACCACAUGAGUUUUUUCAUGGACUAUGAUCCUGAAAGUUUAAUGAAUAAUGAUGUAUUUAACAUAAUGAAUUUUGCUGGAUAUUACAUGCAAAUGUUUACAAACGUUUUAAGCAAGGGAGUGCAGUCUUGUUUAAAAUAGUGCUCAGAUCCUUAUUGUUCUCUGUGUGCUGCUGUAAUGAGGUGGUUUAGUUGGUUAAAAAUACUUUUGUAAUUAUAGGAAGUGAUUUUUGAACUAAAUGUUUAUCCUUGAAUGCUGUGCUAAUUUGUGGCCAGGCGUUUUGCCAUCAAACAGUCUGUUUAACACUUACAGGCACAAACACAACACGCUACAUACAAACACAAUCUCAGGCCGUGCCAAGUUGCUGCCUAUACCUAUCCAGUGCUUCCAGUUAGGAUGUUGCCUUAUGGGUCGUUCACACAGGACGCGUUCUUGUUUUUUAAUAGUUUUUUAUGUAAGCAUGCUCAAGAUGGUUGUUUUUGACAGCCGUUAUUGUAACAUGUCUGUUUUUUUCAGCAUCUUGCGUCAUGAGCACUACAUUUUUAAGAUGGCGUGUCAAGUAAAAUAAAAAGCUUGAAAUAAUGCAUUUCGAAAAGCAUAGCUGUUUUUGAAAGCGAGGCCUCAUCCUGUGUGAACAACUCCUUAGAAUGUGCCAGAAGACCGUAAGGCGCCUCACUAGAGUUUGGAACAGAGCUCGAGUCUAUCAUGUUUUG
Myxocyprinus asiaticus (Chinese sucker) is the source of this 2261-nucleotide long non-coding RNA. RefSeq lists it as uncharacterized. The record is from RefSeq and is a predicted model, not a curated record. NCBI's taxonomy places the organism in Eukaryota, Metazoa, Chordata, Actinopteri, Cypriniformes, Catostomidae. The transcript is spliced from 4 exons.